GACAGAGGGGGCAAGCGUGGCUCGGAAUUACUGGGCGUAAAGGGCGCGUAGGCGGGAUGGCAAGUCGGUCGUGAAAUCCCUCGGCUCAACCGAGGAACGUCGAUCGAUACUGCUGUUCUUGAGGAUUGCAGAGGAGACUGGAAUUCCCGGUGUAGCGGUGAAAUGUGUAGAGAUCGGGAGGAACACCGGUGGCGAAGGCGGGUCUCUGGGCAAUUCCUGACGCUGAGGCGCGAAAGCGUGGGGAGCAAACGGG
This 253-nucleotide ribosomal RNA is filed under the name uncultured bacterium. RNAcentral's name for it is "partial 16S ribosomal RNA". It matches the Rfam family "Bacterial small subunit ribosomal RNA", at positions 524 to 776 of the family's 1533-position model. The record is from RNAcentral.